GACAGAGGGUGCAAACGUUGUUCGGAAUUACUGGGCGUAAAGCGUGUGUAGGCGGCUUGGCAAGUCGGAUGUGAAAGCCCCGGGCUCAACCCGGGAAGUGCACUCGAUACUGCCGAGCUUGGGUAUCGGAGAGGUGGGUGGAAUUCUCGGUGUAGAGGUGAAAUUCGUAGAUAUCGAGAGGAACACCGGCGGCGAAGGCGGCCCACUGGACGAAUACUGACGCUGAGACACGAAAGCGUGGGGAGCAAACAGG
This 253-nucleotide ribosomal RNA is filed under the name uncultured prokaryote. Its description in RNAcentral is "partial 16S ribosomal RNA". It matches the Rfam family "Bacterial small subunit ribosomal RNA", at positions 524 to 776 of the family's 1533-position model. The record is from RNAcentral.